RNAcentral lists this unclassified non-coding RNA (339 nucleotides) under soil metagenome. Its description in RNAcentral is "partial contains 5.8S ribosomal RNA, internal transcribed spacer 2, and large subunit ribosomal RNA". The stretch from base 1 to 120 matches the Rfam family "5.8S ribosomal RNA", at positions 35 to 154 of the family's 154-position model. The record is from RNAcentral.
GAUGAAGAACGUAGCGAAAUGCGAUAAGUAGUGUGAAUUGCAGAAUUCUGUGAAUCAUCGAAUCUUUGAACGCACAUUGCGCCCUUUGGUAUUCCUUAGGGCAUGCCUGUUCGAGCGUCAUUUAAACCUUCAAGCUCAGCUUGGUGUUGGGUGACUGUCCGCCGCCUCCGGGCGGUCGGACUCGCCUCAAAUCGAUUGGCGGCCGGUACUUUGGCUUCGAGCGCAGCAGAAACGCGAACUCGAGGCCGUCGUCCUGGCUCCCAGAAGCUAUCUUCACAAUUUUGACCUCGGAUCAGGUAGGGAUACCCGCUGAACUUAAGCAUAUCAAUAAGCGGAGGA